Molecule: ribosomal RNA, 618 nt
Filed under: uncultured bacterium
Lineage: Bacteria
Description: bacterial SSU rRNA
Rfam family: Bacterial small subunit ribosomal RNA
Source: RNAcentral
CGAGAAGCUUCUUUCGGGAAGUGGACAGUGGCGGACGGGUGAGUAACACGUGGGAACAUGCCUUUUGGUACGGAACAACGCUUGGAAACGAGUGCUAAUACCGUAUACGCCCUUAGGGGGAAAGAUUUAUCGCCGAAAGAUUGGCCCGCGCUAGAUUAGCUAGUUGGUAAGGUAAUGGCUUACCAAGGCUACGAUCUAUAGCUGGUUUGAGAGGAUGAUCAGCCACACUGGGACUGAGACACGGCCCAGACUCCUACGGGAGGCAGCAGUGGGGAAUAUUGGACAAUGGGGGCAACCCUGAUCCAGCGAUGCCGCGUGAGUGAUGAAGGCCUUAGGGUUGUAAAACUCUUUCAGGGGUGAAGAUAAUGACGGUAACCCCAGAAGAAGCUCCGGCUAACUCCGUGCCAGCAGCCGCGGUAAUACGGAGGGAGCUAGCGUUGUUCGGAAUUACUGGGCGUAAAGCGCGCGUAGGCGGCUUGGCAAGUAGAGGGUGAAAUCCCAGGGCUUAACCCUGGAACUGCCUCCUAAACUGCUGAGCUAGAAUCCUGGAGAGGUGAGCGGAAUUCCAGGUGUAGCGGUGAAAUGCGUAGAUAUCUGGAGGAACAUCAGUGGCGAAGG